CGUGAUAAGGGGACACCGAGUGCCAGCAUCAUAUGCUGGCUGUCCAGGUGUGUAAAAUACACCUGUUAGCAAGGGCCGGGCAAGACCGGUGCCAGCCGCCGCGGUAACACCGGCGGCCCGAGUGGUGAUCGUGAUUAUUGGGUCUAAAGGGUCCGUAGCCGGUUUGGUCAGUCCUCCGGGAAAUCUGACGGCUCAACCGUUAGGCUUUCGGGGGAUACUGCCAGGCUUGGAACCGGGAGAGGUAAGAGGUACUACAGGGGUAGGAGUGAAAUCUUGUAAUCCCUGUGAGACCACCUGUGGCGAAGGCGUCUUACCAGAACGGGUUCGACGGUGAGGGACGAAAGCUGGGGGCACGAACCGGAUUAGAUACCCGGGUAGUCCCAGCCGUAAACGAUGCUCGCUAGGUGUCAGGCAUGGCGCGACCGUGUCUGGUGCCGCAGGGAAGCCGUGAAGCGAGCCACCUGGGAAGUACGGCCGCAAGGCUGAAACUUAAAGGAAUUGGCGGGGGAGCAC
RNAcentral lists this ribosomal RNA (513 nucleotides) under uncultured archaeon. RNAcentral's name for it is "bacterial SSU rRNA". It matches the Rfam family "Archaeal small subunit ribosomal RNA", at positions 366 to 879 of the family's 1478-position model. The record is from RNAcentral.